GAGCCUGAGUCCCUUUAAUAUUAGAGGAGGGGAGUGGCUUUAUGAUAAGGGAAAGGUCUGCUCUUCAAUGUGUAUCUUGCUCCCUUUGAAUUCAAUGGGAAUUUUUUGCUGAGCCCAAAUCUUGCCUCGCAGCUAACUGUGAGGAAUGGUAAUCUUAGUAAAUGUUCACCAGGCUAGAGAGUGCCUUGUCCUGUGUUUCCACAGCACCUAGUGUACCUGGGACCUUUGGCACUACUAUCAUAGAAAUUCACUCUAGUGCACACGGCACUAUGCCACAUAUGAAGGGAGGGGCGCUUGAGUGGUGAAUAGGAUCACAUUUUUGAGCAGAGAUGGGCUGGGGUGACUAUUAUCCUGACAGAAGCGAGAGGGAAAUGCUACCAAAAUUUCCUGAUGUGCCGGCAUGUGGGAGAGAGGGACAAACCCACAGGCCUGAAUGAUUCCUGGUUUUGGGUACCCAAGUCACAACAUGUUAAAGGAGCCUGAUUUUCGGUCACUUUCUGAAAUUUAGGCCCCUUUAAGCUAACGAGCUAGGUUGCUCCAAUGGCAGUUAGGUGUCUAAAUACAUUUGAGGAGCUGGGCCCUAGCCACUCUUGAGAAUUUAGGCCACCAUACCGGUACUGAGAGAUUCAAAGAACAUAGCUUAUCUAUGGUUGUUUUCUGGACAAACAAUUUUAUUUUAGGUAAUGCGUCUAUACACUGUACAUUCAGUCACUGUGGUAUAUAAGCAUAGCUAUUUUCAUACAUAAUCUCAUAAAGUCCUUUAUUUUACAAUAUUAUCUGUUUCAGGGGAGGGGAUGUGGAAAAGGGGAUGUAAAAGGACUAUCAAGGUACACAGCGAAGUAGAUAAAUAUGCCAAGCUUUUUUCUUUUUUUUUUUUUAAAUCAGGCAUUUAUAAACAAGAAAGCAUACAUUAAUUACAUAAAAAUAGUUCUAGAAUAGUAGAGUAAGUCAUAAUAUUGUCAUUAGCAGCAGCAUAGGAGAGACCAGGAUAACAAAAUGUGCUGAAAUGCUAUUGGCUAUUAUAAAUGUAUAGAUUUUUUUUCCCCUCAGUUGAAAGAAAAAAAAAAAGUCAUUUCUGUGAAUUCUUUAGAUUUUAAAAAACAAAAAAACACCUCAAAAAAACAAAACCUCCCUCUAAAACAUAUGAGCUGAUGGGGGGAGGGGGAAGAAUCACCUUUUUUUUUUUUUAAUAAUAAAAAUACUUUACAAUGAAAAUAAGGACAAAAUGCAAAUGACGAAAAGUUAACCCACAUUGAAAACUUGCAAAAGUUUUUUUGUUUUGUUUUGUUUUUCCUAACAGACAGCAAAAGUUCUUCUUAGUUAAAAACACAACUCAUAAAACAAGACAACUACCAGGAAACUAAAUGGCAAAUACAAAGGGAGGAGAUGCAAUCUUACAAUUCCGAGGCACCCUACUGACUUGGGUGCGCAUGGAAUGCAGCCGUGGUUAAAGUAAGAGCAAUCCCAUCUAUGAGGGAUUUACUUCAGUGCAAUGUUGCAUACGCAGAAAUUACACACAGAACUCCCUCACUGCGAACAACCAUCAUAAAAGUUUCUCUCACAAGUAUUACCACCAUUAUCAACAGAUGUUUUCUAGAAUCAAGUGGCUGUGUGAUCUUGAAAAUACCCAGAUAUCCCCUUUCCCCGAUACAUUGAUUUAUAAUUCCUGCACAGAAGUUCUGAGUUAAAAAGAAAGACAUGCUCUUCAGCUAUGCCAAAAUUCUACUAUUUGCUCAUUGCAAAAUGUAUUUUGGAAAGACAAAAAAAAAAUCAAACCCCACAUUACAGAACUCUCCUGUUAACGAGUUGCUGGUGUAGACAGUUUGUUCCCAUAGUCUUCUUGCACUAUUGUGGGUGGAGUUCUUAACUUUAUUUCGCUGCAUCCAUUUAAACCUUAAUUUAGAGUGGUUUUCUAAUAGGUUGUUUCCUCCAAUUUAAAAUAAUCCUACUUAGUGCUCGAUGUUAAUUUGAAACACAGUAAAGCUAGCAGUCAAGAGAUUACACUCAACAGAUUUAUUGUAACAUAUCAUGUGAAAAAUCUAAACUUUUAAAACCUAAUGGCAUGCAGUUUGAAUACGAAGAAUUUUCUUCCUUGGUGUUUCUUGAUAAAGCUAUUUACGAUCUUAUUUUUCCUUCCCUGAAAAAAAUGCAGAGUUCAUUCAUUUUUGAGGAAAAAGACUUCAUAUGCACAGAAGUUAUGCCAGUGAAUAAAUAUACAUGCUGCAUAAAUACAAGGAUGAAAUAUAUGAGGUGCUGCAGGUAAGAAGGUUGUUUUCCUGGAUGAGACAGGUAGAGGCUUCAACACGCUGCAAUUUUUUGUUAGGUCAUAAGGAAAGAGAUAUUCAAAGGUUAGAUGAAACAAUAAAAACAUUCUGCUUCAAAGAAGCCAGCAUGGUGAAAAAUAACAAGUUUGUUCUAUGUGUAAUUUCUUGACACGGCAAUAGAGCACAGCAUAUGAGAGACCUUCUAAAAAUAUGCAACACUCAGCUAAAGCUAAAUUAUUUAGUUUCCCUUGAAGAAAUAACUGAAAAAUACAGAUGUGGAAAUCAUAAGGCUGAGAACAGUUUUAUGCAUAUUGCAUAACAAACCCUUUACAUAAGACAGUAAUAAUGCCCAUUAAUGAAUAUACAUAUGGCAGAGAUUUUAAUUCCAUGCAUAUGAUUUUUUUAAUAAUUGCAGAAAAAAAUACAAAGCAAAAAAAAAAAAAAACCAACCCACCCCCCUCCCCCCAAAAAACCCAGCCCCACAUAAAAAAAAUACCCCUGCAUAAACAAUGUUCCUUUUGCAUUGCACUUUAGAAGAGGAGAUUUGCACCUUAAUUCAAUCUCCACCAUCCCAAACACACAAGAACAAAAUCCCCUGUUUAAACAGACUAUUUUAAUUUCCAUGUAAUUUACUUGGUAUAACAAUUUGCUCCCCACAGUUCUGCAUUGUCCCCAUAAGUUGAUUCCUUUCAUAUACCUUCUUUCUUUGUACCUAAAACAUAUAUGAAUUUUAUUUCCCAUUAAUGCUCAGAGUUACAAUGGUUAUUAUAAUGGAUUCAAGCAAACAGCUCUUGUUUAAAAAAAAUUAAAAAAAAUCUUUUAUUUCUCUCUAAUGCACUGUAAGUAAAUACUAUAAUUUUAGGAUUGGCAGCCGCUUUUUGUCUACUGGGAAAUAAUUUUCAAGCUUACAGUUUGCAUAAAUGUCCAAAAAGAAAAUAAAGAUUACUAGGGAUGUGCUUCACUGAGAGAAUAACUUCUAUUUAUAAUGAUGCACAGGUUACCCCCUCCCUUUUUUUUUUUUUUUUAAAAAGUUGGAAAAAAAAAGUCAACAUUUCCUUUACAAGAUCCUGAAAGGCACAAUAGCAGCCCAGGUCCAAUUUUCACCUUAUGCCUUUAAUCUUGGGUGCACAAUGAGAUACUUGUGUGUGGCUUUUUUAUUAAACAAUUUCCCUUGUUCAGUAAAGCACAUAUAUAUAUAUAUAUAUAUAUAUGAUAAAUACAUGGGGAAAGCCCAAAUCUCCACAUCCUUCCACUUUGUCGAUGUGUCCAACUAUGCAAAGCGAGUGUAAAAUACUACUACUAGCAUACAUAUAUGGAAAAUCCUGAUUUGGUAACUCGGUCCCUGGUCUGCAUUCACUUUGCCUGGGUGUGAAUGAUGACAUGACGUGCCAGGCUGUGGAGAAUUGGGUGGAUGUUUUGAAGUCUUUAAAGCACGGUUCAACCUAGAAUAAUCAACCUGUAAACUUUACAACUGUGGAAUAAAAUGCAGAGGAAGAUUUUGACAAAGUGCAGUUCUUUAAAAAAUAAUAAUAAUAAUAAAAAAGACAAAGUGAUGUAAUGCUGCAUUUUUAUUCCAGGGCUGCGGCUUGGAUCCCAAAAUUAAAGUAAUUUCUAUUAUUUAAAAAAAAUAAAAGAUGUAGCCUUAUUCACAGCAGCAGAAGUGUCAUUCUUAGUUUUCUGUAGUAUCUGGUGUUGCACUGUCCUCGGGCACAGUAAACCGAGUAAGUAAAUCAAUACUGAAUUUAUGAAAAGACUGUGUAACAAAGAUGAGUUCUCUGGAAAACUGAAGUAAAGAUUUCAGAAUGACUUCAAAAUGCAUGUCUUUUUUUUUUUGCUUAUCUUUCAACCAACUUAAGUUCAUUCACUUUCUUUCUUCUUCCAUUCUUUUCCUAAAACUGAAGUGCUCUUGGAUGAAGUGAGUCUUUUGAACACAUCAGUUCAUGACAGAUAUCUUUAAAAAUUAUGGCGUGAUUUACAAACACUGAAGUCAAUAAGGCUGGAUUUAUCUCGCUCUAGCAUACACUCUCCCCACACAGGCACUCCCCUCUAUCCUCCUUUCUUCCUGGGUUUAGUAGAGGAAAACGAGGAUCGUUCAUCC
Molecule: long non-coding RNA, 4362 nt
Organism: Dermochelys coriacea (leatherback sea turtle)
Lineage: Eukaryota; Metazoa; Chordata; Testudines; Dermochelyidae
Exons: 2
Source: RefSeq, a predicted model, not a curated record